RNAcentral lists this non-coding RNA (244 nucleotides) under Limosilactobacillus oris. RNAcentral's name for it is "Lactobacillus oris T-box sequence". It matches the Rfam family "T-box leader". Rfam says of the family: Uncharged tRNA acts as the effector for transcription antitermination of genes in the T-box leader family. Lineage: Bacteria; Bacillati; Bacillota; Bacilli; Lactobacillales; Lactobacillaceae. The record is from RNAcentral.
UAAAACAUAUCGAAAGGCAGAGUAAACGCCCAAGCUGUUCAGAGAGUUGCUGGUUGGUGGAAAGCAAUGAGUCUAAGCGUUGAAGAUGGGCCUGGAAUGGUACCGGUGAUUGUUAGCCGGUAACGGGUUAGCACACGUUACAAGUGCUGGGUAAUUCUAAGAAUUAACUUAGAGUCACCCACUAAGGUUAGGCUGGUGACGGCCUAACGAACAAAGGUGGUACCGCGAAGCAUUCGUCCUUUUA